AGAGUUUGAUCAUGGCUCAGAACGAACGUUGGCGGCGUGGAUUAGGCAUGCAAGUCGAACGAAGACGUUCGGGUAGCAAUAUUCGAACGGACUGAGUGGCGAAAGGGGCAGUAAUGCAUGGGCAACCUACCUCGGGGAUGGGCAUAGCCGUUCUAACGGACGGGUAAUUCCCAGCGAUUUGGCGGAGCGGCAUCGCUUUGCCAAGAAAUGGAUUCCGCCUCAUGAGGGGCUCAUGUCGUAUUAGCUAGUUGGCGGGGUAAUGGCCCACCAAGGCAAAGAUGCGUAGCGGGUGUGAGAGCACGACCCGCGCCACUGGCACUGAGACACUGGCCAGACACCUACGGGUGGCUGCAGUCGAGGAUCUUCGGCAAUGGGCGCAAGCCUGACCGAGCGACGCCGCGUGUGCGAUGAAGGCCUUCGGGUUGUAAAGCACUGUCGAGGGGGAUAAAACCGCAAGGUUGAUAGUCCCUGAGAGC
Molecule: ribosomal RNA, 476 nt
Filed under: uncultured Gemmata sp.
Lineage: Bacteria; Pseudomonadati; Planctomycetota; Planctomycetia; Gemmatales; Gemmataceae
Description: bacterial SSU rRNA
Rfam family: Bacterial small subunit ribosomal RNA
Source: RNAcentral